Molecule: ribosomal RNA, 253 nt
Filed under: uncultured bacterium
Lineage: Bacteria
Description: partial 16S ribosomal RNA
Rfam family: Bacterial small subunit ribosomal RNA
Source: RNAcentral
UACGAAGGGGGCUAGCGUUGUUCGGAAUUACUGGGCGUAAAGGGCGCGUAGGCGGUGUGUCAAGUCAGGCGUGAAAGCCCCGGGCUCAACCUGGGAAUGGCAUUUGGGACUGCAAGGCUUGAGUGCGGCAGAGGAGACUGGAAUUCCCGGUGUAGCGGUGAAAUGCGCAGAUAUCGGGAGGAACACCAAUGGCGAAGGCAGCUCGCUGGGACGGUACUGACGCUGAGACGCGAAAGCGUGGGGAGCAAACAGG